RNAcentral lists this ribosomal RNA (362 nucleotides) under uncultured soil bacterium. RNAcentral's name for it is "bacterial SSU rRNA". It matches the Rfam family "Bacterial small subunit ribosomal RNA", at positions 26 to 394 of the family's 1533-position model. The record is from RNAcentral.
AGAUUGAACGCUGGCGGCAUGCCUUACACAUGCAAGUCGAACGGCAGCAUGAUCUAGCUUGCUAGAUUGAUGGCGAGUGGCGAACGGGUGAGUAAUACAUCGGAACGUGCCCUGUAGUGGGGGAUAACUAGUCGAAAGAUUAGCUAAUACCGCAUACGACCUGAGGGUGAAAGUGGGGGACCGCAAGGCCUCAUGCUAUAGGAGCGGCCGAUGUCUGAUUAGCUAGUGUGAGGUAAGCUCACCAAGGCGACGAUCAGUAGCUGGUCUGACGAGGACGAUCAGCCACGACUGGGACUGAGACACGGCCCAGACUCGUACGGAGCAGCAGUGGGAUUUGACAUGGACGAAGCGUGAUCCAGCAA